RNAcentral lists this ribosomal RNA (854 nucleotides) under Staphylococcus aureus. Its description in RNAcentral is "partial 23S ribosomal RNA". It matches the Rfam family "Bacterial large subunit ribosomal RNA", at positions 702 to 1559 of the family's 2925-position model. Lineage: Bacteria; Bacillati; Bacillota; Bacilli; Caryophanales; Staphylococcaceae. The record is from RNAcentral.
UGAUUGAUGUGACCGUAGCAGGUGAUCUACCCUUGGUCAGGUUGAAGUUCAGGUAACACUGAAUGGAGGACCGAACCGACUUACGUUGAAAAGUGAGCGGAUGAACUGAGGGUAGCGGAGAAAUUCCAAUCGAACCUGGAGAUAGCUGGUUCUCUCCGAAAUAGCUUUAGGGCUAGCCUCAAGUGAUGAUUAUUGGAGGUAGAGCACUGUUUGGACGAGGGGCCCCUCUCGGGUUACCGAAUUCAGACAAACUCCGAAUGCCAAUUAAUUUAACUUGGGAGUCAGAACAUGGGUGAUAAGGUCCGUGUUCGAAAGGGAAACAGCCCAGACCACCAGCUAAGGUCCCAAAAUAUAUGUUAAGUGGAAAAGGAUGUGGCGUUGCCCAGACAACUAGGAUGUUGGCUUAGAAGCAGCCAUCAUUUAAAGAGUGCGUAAUAGCUCACUAGUCGAGUGACACUGCGCCGAAAAUGUACCGGGGCUAAACAUAUUACCGAAGCUGUGGAUUGUCCUUUGGACAAUGGUAGGAGAGCGUUCUAAGGGCGUUGAAGCAUGAUCGUAAGGACAUGUGGAGCGCUUAGAAGUGAGAAUGCCGGUGUGAGUAGCGAAAGACGGGUGAGAAUCCCGUCCACCGAUUGACUAAGGUUUCCAGAGGAAGGCUCGUCCGCUCUGGGUUAGUCGGGUCCUAAGCUGAGGCCGACAGGCGUAGGCGAUGGAUAACAGGUUGAUAUUCCUGUACCACCUAUAAUCGUUUUAAUCGAUGGGGGGACGCAGUAGGAUAGGCGAAGCGUGCGAUUGGAUUGCACGUCUAAGCAGUAAGGCUGAGUAUUAGGCAAAUCCGGUACUCGUUAAGUCCG